This 450-nucleotide ribosomal RNA is filed under the name uncultured bacterium. Its description in RNAcentral is "partial 16S ribosomal RNA". It matches the Rfam family "Bacterial small subunit ribosomal RNA", at positions 338 to 795 of the family's 1533-position model. The record is from RNAcentral.
CCUACGGGUGGCUGCAGUGGGGAAUUUUGGACAAUGGGGGCAACCCUGAUCCAGCCAUGCCGCGUGCGGGAAGAAGGCCUUCGGGUUGUAAACCGCUUUUGUCAGGAGAGAAAUCUCUUGGGCUAAUACCCUGAGAGGAUGACGGUACCUGAAGAAUAAGCACCGGCUAACUACGUGCCAGCAGCCGCGGUAAUACGUAGGGUGCAAGCUGUAAUCGGAAUUACUGGAGGUAAUUGUGCAGGAGACGGGUGGAAUCCCCGGGCGUAACCUGGGAACUGCACUUGUGACUGCACGGCUAGAGUACGGCAGAGGGGGAUGGAAUUCCGCGUGUAGCAGUGAAAUGCGUAGAUAUGCGGAGGAACACCGAUGGCGAAGGCAGUCCCCUGGGCCUGUACUGACGCUCAUGCACGAAAGCGUGGGGAGCAAACAGGAUUAGAUACCCUAGUAGUC